UGGGGAAUAUUGCGCAAUGGAGGCAACUCUGACGCAGCCAUGCCGCGUGUGUGAAGAAGGCCCUCGGGUUGUAAAGCACUUUCAAUUGGGAGAAAAAGCUUGUCGUUAAUAGCGGCAAGCCUUGAUGUUACCUUUAGAAGAAGCACCGGCUAACUCCGUGCCAGCAGCCGCGGUAAUACGGAGGGUGCGAGCGUUAAUCGGAAUUACUGGGCGUAAAGCGCGCGUAGGCGGUUGCUUAAGUCGGAUGUGAAAGCCCCGGGCUCAACCUGGGAACUGCAUUCGAUACUGGGCGACUAGAGUACGAGAGAGGGAGGUAGAAUUCCACGUGUAGCGGUGAAAUGCGUAGAUAUGUGGAGGAAUACCGGUGGCGAAGGCGGCCUCCUGGCUCGAUACUGACGCUGAGGUGCGAAAAGCGUGGGGAGCAAAACAGGAUUAGAUACCCUGGUAGUCCACGCCGUAAACGAUGUCUACUAGCCGUUGGGGUACUUGAGACCUUAGUGGCGCAGCUAACGCACUAAGUAGACCGCCUGGGAGUACGGCCGCAAGGUUAAAACUC
RNAcentral lists this ribosomal RNA (556 nucleotides) under uncultured bacterium. RNAcentral's name for it is "bacterial SSU rRNA". It matches the Rfam family "Bacterial small subunit ribosomal RNA", at positions 355 to 902 of the family's 1533-position model. The record is from RNAcentral.